GACACGGGGAUCCAGACUGAUGGGUAGAACCCACCUCUGGCUCCAGAAGUCAGUAUCCUGUGACCAGAGCAGUUGGCAACUCGUGGAGAGUGACCAAAGCCACGUCAAUGAACACCUUCCCUGGGACCCUUUUGGCCAGGAGAGAGGUACCACCAGCACCUAAUGGGUAGAGGCUGAGGCUGAGGAUACACAUUCUACAAAGAAGAACAGUCCCCACAACGGAGAAUGAUCCUGCCCCAAAUGUCAACAGUGCUGACGCUGAGAAACCCUGCCUCAGUCUGUGCGGCCGCACAAAGCCAGGUUGAGCAGGGAUUUUAGCUCUUGUCACUAAAGCUUCAGGGAACUCUGAAGAGAGAUGGAUUGUCUCCAAGAUUCUUCUGGCUCGGACAUCCCCUCGGUCUGUAAACGGAACAGGCACGCUC
Prionailurus viverrinus (fishing cat) is the source of this 422-nucleotide long non-coding RNA. RefSeq lists it as uncharacterized. The record is from RefSeq and is a predicted model, not a curated record. Lineage: Eukaryota; Metazoa; Chordata; Mammalia; Carnivora; Felidae. The transcript is spliced from 3 exons.